Dreissena polymorpha is the source of this 608-nucleotide long non-coding RNA. RefSeq lists it as uncharacterized. The transcript has 3 exons. NCBI's taxonomy places the organism in Eukaryota, Metazoa, Mollusca, Bivalvia, Myida, Dreissenidae. The record is from RefSeq and is a predicted model, not a curated record.
CAAGGUCAAAAUCUAGAUCACAUAAUAGGUCAAAUAAUAGAAAAACCUUGUGUAGACAAUAGAGGUCGCAGUUUUCAUCCAAUCUUUAUGAAAUUUGGUCAGAAUGUUUAUCUUGAUGAAAUCUGGGUUGGGAAUGUAUUUGGGUCAUCUGGGGUCAAAAACUAGGUCACUAGGUCAAAUAAUAGAAAAACCUUGUGUAGACAAUAGAGGUCGCAGUUUUCAUCCAAUCUUUAUGAAAUUUGGUCAGAAUGUUUAUCUUGAUGAAAUCUGGGUUGGGAUUGUAUUUGGGUCAUCUGGGGUCAAAAACUAGGUCACUAGGUCAAAUAAUAGAAAAACCUUGUGUAGACAAUAGAGGUCGCAGUUUUCAUCCAAUCUUUAUAAAAUUUGGUCAGAAUGUUUAUCUUGAUGAAAUCUGGGUUGAGAUUGUAUUUGUCUCAUCUGGGGUCAAAAACUAGGUCAAAUAAUAGAAAAACCUUGUGUAGACAAUAGAGGUCACAGUUUUCAUCUAAUCUUUAUGAAAUUUGGUCAGAAUGUUUAUCUUGAUGAAAUCAGGGUUGGGAUUGUAUUUAGUUAGUCAGGUGAGCGAUUCAGGGCCAUCAUGGCCCUCU